Molecule: long non-coding RNA, 427 nt
Organism: Oreochromis aureus
Lineage: Eukaryota; Metazoa; Chordata; Actinopteri; Cichliformes; Cichlidae
Source: Ensembl
AGUUUUGAGGACAUCUGCUGAAGGGGUUUUCACGACUGGCACAUCGGAUCCAGAGUCUACAUUAUUAUUAACAAUUAUCCUGGAGAAAAACUAAUGAGGGAGACCAUCAGGACCAAGCUGUGUUUCCUGGGUGCAGAGGUUUCCUUCAUCACAGCUGUCCCGUGCCAGAUGUUGUGUUGACUCACUGACAGACAUCAUUUCAGAAACCUCAGGAAGACUGAAGCUCACCGCAAGGAUCAAGGAGGGCUCAUAAACUUUACCAGCAACUUCAGACCUCAACCAUAGGCUCACCCCAUAACAUGGACAAACCCAGCACCUCAUGAACAGUGUGAUACUGACCUUUGCUUUUUGUAAUGUUAGAAAUACUCACAUCAUCCUCAUAUAAUGCAAAGAGGCUCUCAACUUUUAAAAAUGUUAUAUUCAGUCC